UAUUUUGAUAAGAAAAAACUUCAGAUAGUUUCGUACUUUCUUAUUUUAGUAUCCUGUGGUUUAAAAUGUAUCAAGUUAGUAUUCUGUUGUUUUAUUUUUAUCCUUUUAUUAGCUUUUUUGUUAAUAUUUUAUUAAAUUAUAUAUAAAAAACUUCAGAUACUUUACCUAAGUUUAUCGAAUAUUCACUUUACUAUCCUUUAGUUUUAACUUUGUUACUGAUUUAACAAAAAAAUUAGUGAAAUUAAUAUAAAAAGAUAAAAAUGAAACCACGGGACACUAAAUUGAUACAACUUUAAACCACAGGGUACUAAAAUGAGAAAGUGUGAAACCACGGGAAUAGUAUUUAAAGUUUUUUCUUUUAAUAAACUAGAGUUUAGAUUAUUUUUAUUUUUUUUGCCAUUUGUUUGUAUGGCUACGGAAUUAAAGUUUUUUCAGUUCUACUCUUCGUUUGACAGAAAGUGAAUAACAUAAAAACUAAAAAUAUGAUAAAUAGAUUAAUAUUUUAUUAUUUUUUUCAUAUAUUUUUAUAAUUUAUUUCAGUCUGGAGUCGAAUAAAAUCAAUCAUGCUAUUUUAGAAAGUUUGAGUUUCGAAUGAAUU
This 598-nucleotide long non-coding RNA is filed under the name Ananas comosus (pineapple). Its description in RNAcentral is "long non-coding RNA (ACOM_LNC031776)". The record is from RNAcentral. Lineage: Eukaryota; Viridiplantae; Streptophyta; Magnoliopsida; Poales; Bromeliaceae.